AAGGAGAUACAGUCUUGUAAACGGCCGAAGCUUGAUCAUCCUCUUCCACACUCAGCUUCCAGAACUCUGAAAAUCUGUCAGAACAACCGACCUCUUUGAUAGUGUGAUCUUAAAUCUCCCUCCAUUCAUGUGUGCAUAUAUACAGUCAUACAUGCAUAGAUACAUACAUUCAUUCAUCCAUACAUUCAUAUAUGCAUACAUGCAUACAACAUACAUUCAUGUGUGCAUCUAUACCUACAUUCAUGCAUAUUUACUUUCUUGAUUCAUUGAUUGCUUCUUUACUUACAUUGUUUUCUUGCUUUCUUCGUUGCUUCUUUUGCUUCUUUUUCUUCGUUGUUUCUUUCUUGUUUUUUUUUCUCUGUUUGCUUACAUGUUUAACUUGUUUACUUCUUGUUUGUUUCUUUGAUUAUUUGAUCGUUGCUCACUUUAUAUUGCUUCAUUCAUUUCUUAAUUUGUGUGCAUGCUUGCUUCUUGGUUCUUUGAUUUUUUUCUUUAUUUUCUUCCUUAAUUGUUUGCUCGAGCCAUACAUGCAAUUAACUUGUUUACGUAUUGUCGCUUUCUUUAUUUCUUUGAUUGUUUGAUAUAUUCGCUUACUCAACUGAUUCAUUCGUUGCUCAACUCUUUUACAUGUUUACUUCUUUGAUUCUUUGUUUCUUUACUUCUCUCAUUGUUUUCUUACAUGCUUACUUACUUUUUUAUUGCUUCUUACAUUUUUUGUAUACUCGCUUCCUUCUUUGCUCACUUCAUUGCUUCUAUUUAGUUCU
This 764-nucleotide long non-coding RNA is filed under the name Arabidopsis lyrata. Its description in RNAcentral is "long non-coding RNA (ALYR_LNC002819)". Lineage: Eukaryota; Viridiplantae; Streptophyta; Magnoliopsida; Brassicales; Brassicaceae. The record is from RNAcentral.